Molecule: transfer RNA, 74 nt
Filed under: Bacteroidota bacterium
Lineage: Bacteria; Pseudomonadati; Bacteroidota
Also listed under: 2 other names
Description: tRNA-Ile
Rfam family: tRNA
About the family: Transfer RNA (tRNA) molecules are approximately 80 nucleotides in length.
Source: RNAcentral
AGGGCUAUAGCUCAGUUGGUUAGAGCGCUACACUGAUAAUGUAGAGGUCACCAGUUCAACUCUGGUUAGCCCUA